UACGUAGGUGGCAAGCGAUACUCGGAAUCACUAGGCGUAAAGCGCAGGUAGGAGGUUUGGUAAGUCUGUUGUGAAAGCUCCCGGCUUAACUGGGAGAGGUCAACGGAAACUACUAAGCUAGAGUGCGGUAGAGGUAGCUGGAAUUCCCGGUGUAGCGGUGAAAUGCGUAGAUAUCGGGAGGAAUACCUAUGGCGAAAGCAGGCUACUGGACCGUCACUGACUCUGAUCUGCGAAAGCUAGGGGAGCAAACAGG
This 253-nucleotide ribosomal RNA is filed under the name uncultured bacterium. Its description in RNAcentral is "partial 16S ribosomal RNA". It matches the Rfam family "Bacterial small subunit ribosomal RNA", at positions 524 to 776 of the family's 1533-position model. The record is from RNAcentral.